GAUGAACGCUGGCGGCGUGCCUAAUACAUGCAAGUCGAGCGAACAGAUGAAGAGCUUGCUCCUCUGACGUUAGCGGCGGACGGGUGAGUAACACGUGGAUAACCUACCUAUAAGACUGGGAUAACUUCGGGAAACCGGAGCUAAUACCGGAUAAUAUAUUGAACCGCAUGGUUCAAUAGUGAAAGACGGUUUUGCUGUCACUUAUAGAUGGAUCCGCGCCGCAUUAGCUAGUUGGUAAGGUAACGGCUUACCAAGGCAACGAUGCGUAGCCGACCUGAGAGGGUGAUCGGCCACACUGGAACUGAGACACGGUCCAGACUCCUACGGGAGGCAGCAGUAGGGAAUCUUCCGCAAUGGGCGAAAGCCUGACGGAGCAACGCCGCGUGAGUGAUGAAGGUCUUCGGAUCGUAAAACUCUGUUAUUAGGGAAGAACAAAUGUGUAAGUAACUAUGCACGUCUUGACGGUACCGAAGCAGAAAGCCACGGCUAACUACGU
RNAcentral lists this ribosomal RNA (496 nucleotides) under uncultured bacterium. RNAcentral's name for it is "partial 16S ribosomal RNA". It matches the Rfam family "Bacterial small subunit ribosomal RNA", at positions 28 to 506 of the family's 1533-position model. The record is from RNAcentral.